This 705-nucleotide long non-coding RNA is filed under the name Volvox carteri. RNAcentral's name for it is "long non-coding RNA (VCAR_LNC000917)". The record is from RNAcentral. Lineage: Eukaryota; Viridiplantae; Chlorophyta; Chlorophyceae; Chlamydomonadales; Volvocaceae.
UGGACUAAGAAACAAGCACGAAAUGUUUUCGGCAUAUGGUAAAUCCGUAUAUAUGUUAGAAAGUGAUAUUACAAGGGAGACCAACAACCACAAAGUCAAAGGAUAGACCAGCCGUAUAUGUUAGGGAGAACGAAUUUCGGGAGGUCGGCAAACCCUGAAUAACUGUCACGGGUACUGGUGCCAGGGUCGAAUAACUGUAUGGAAAUGUUUUUGGUAAAAGCCGAGGAAAGGUCGUCAAUUGACUGUUCGUUAUGAGAACCUCUCAAAGCUAGCGUUUACCUCCUUGUAAAAUGGAAGGUUUGGUAACCUAAUGAUGAAGUUUAUAGCUUCAAAACUGCGCAAACCUGCCUUUUGGGGGAAAUUUCUGCACCCUGCCGUACGGCUACCGUACCAGCGAUGAAGAGCUUCUGCAACGGGUACAACGGAAGGACCCGCUGUACCAGCGGCGUUUGCCGACCCCUCAACGAAAUACGCCAAUAUGUUUCUUUCCACCUCCUAAUGCUUUUACUUUUUGUGCAAUCUAUGCGCUUUACACUUCAUCGCUCCCUUGAUUAAGUGCUCGUCCUGUAGUGCGGUACGGCAAGUGCGGCGCAGGAAUUCUCAGCCCAGAGCUGGGCAGAGGACAAGGACGGAUACCCUAGUUCGUUACAAAGAUUAGCUGGGAACAAGGCGCUAACUUCAGACAACGCAAGAUCGCCCGAUAAC